This 467-nucleotide ribosomal RNA is filed under the name uncultured Gammaproteobacteria bacterium. RNAcentral's name for it is "bacterial SSU rRNA". It matches the Rfam family "Bacterial small subunit ribosomal RNA", at positions 42 to 500 of the family's 1533-position model. The record is from RNAcentral. Lineage: Bacteria; Pseudomonadati; Pseudomonadota; Gammaproteobacteria.
UCAGGCCUAACACAUGCAAGUCGAGCGGUAACAGGGGGAGCUUGCUCCCCGCUGACGAGCGGCGGACGGGUGAGUAAUGCUUAGGAAACUGCCCAGUAGUGGGGGAUAGCCCGGGGAAACCCGGAUUAAUACCGCAUACGUCCUUCGGGAGAAAGCAGGGGAUCUUCGGACCUUGCGCUAUUGGAUGUGCCUAUGUCGGAUUAGCUAGUUGGUGAGGUAAUGGCUCACCAAGGCGACGAUCCGUAGCUGGUCUGAGAGGAUGAUCAGCCACAUCGGGACUGAGACACGGCCCGAACUCCUACGGGAGGCAGCAGUGGGGAAUAUUGGACAAUGGGGGAAACCCUGAUCCAGCCAUGCCGCGUGUGUGAAGAAGGCUUUCGGGUUGUAAAGCACUUUCAGUGAGGAGGAAAAGUUAGUCCCUAAUACGGGCUAGCCUUGACGUUACUCACAGAAGAAGCACCGGCUAA